RNAcentral lists this transfer RNA (79 nucleotides) under Escherichia coli. Its description in RNAcentral is "tRNA-Met". It matches the Rfam family "tRNA". From Rfam's summary of the family: Transfer RNA (tRNA) molecules are approximately 80 nucleotides in length. Their secondary structure includes four short double-helical elements and three loops (D, anti-codon, and T loops). Lineage: Bacteria; Pseudomonadati; Pseudomonadota; Gammaproteobacteria; Enterobacterales; Enterobacteriaceae. The record is from RNAcentral.
CGCGGGGUGGAGCAGCCUGGUAGCUCGUCGGGCUCAUAACCCGAAGGUCGUCGGUUCAAAUCCGGCCCCCCCGCAACCA